RNAcentral lists this unclassified non-coding RNA (163 nucleotides) under fungal sp. RNAcentral's name for it is "partial internal transcribed spacer region". Lineage: Eukaryota; Fungi. The record is from RNAcentral.
UCGAGCUAGUUGAUGGCGAGCGGGGUCAGAACGCCAUCUUUCUUAACGCCUAGUCGGAUUGGCCGCGGUGGUCCUUUGCGAGGAAUUGUGGCUUCGAUCCAUAACUCUUCGCCGUCGUGGCGUCGUGAAGGAUCGGGUAGAUGCUCCGGUAUGAAGAACGCAG